GGAAUAAACAUUUACUUUCAAGAAAUUUCAGCUUUAUAUGAAAAUUUCAGUGUUUGAUACGAAAAUUACAGUACUGAACAAACUUGUAAGUAAUAUUAUUGUGAGACGUACUGUCAUAUCUAUUUAGGGAUCACAAAUACAUUUGGAAAAAAUUAAGGUAGCAUUUUAAAAAGAUCUGGAUCAUAAUAAAUGUAGACAAAAGAAACCACCAAUAAAUUCCCAGUGACCAAUGUCUAAUAUAACAUCACAUAAUGUAUGUGACAUAAUGGUAUGUACACUAUCUGUAAAUCAGAGCUUAUCUACGAAGACACCUUUAAGAAAAUAUGACAGCACUAUAGAAAGUCCCUGAAGAAAGAAAUUAUACAUAAACUAGAUAGUGCUCACCAAUCUCAACAGUUUAAGCAACGCUAUUUUUCCAUGAAAAUUAAUUCUAAGUAAUUUUAUGACAUUACCAACCUCUCUACAUUAUUACAGUUCUCAUCAUUUUACUUGGCUAACACAAUUCCCAAAGAGAAUUAUAUUGGAGCAUACAUUUCUCGCAAUUAUGAGACCAUGAAUGGUCAAAACUUACUUUAAGAAAAAUAACAUGCAAAAUUGCCACA
RNAcentral lists this long non-coding RNA (602 nucleotides) under Bos taurus (domestic cattle). Its description in RNAcentral is "long non-coding RNA NONBTAT021804". Lineage: Eukaryota; Metazoa; Chordata; Mammalia; Artiodactyla; Bovidae. The record is from RNAcentral.